GCCUUGGUGGCGGAAUUGGUAUACGCGCAUGGUUCAGGACCAUGUUCUCGCAAGGGAUUGGGAGUUCGAGUCUCCCCCAAGGCA
RNAcentral lists this transfer RNA (84 nucleotides) under Candidatus Moraniibacteriota bacterium. RNAcentral describes it as "tRNA-Leu". It matches the Rfam family "tRNA". From Rfam's summary of the family: Transfer RNA (tRNA) molecules are approximately 80 nucleotides in length. The record is from RNAcentral. Lineage: Bacteria; Candidatus Moraniibacteriota.